UGCCAGCAGCCGCGGUAAUACGGAGGGUGCAAGCGUUAAUCGGAAUUACAGGGCGUAAAGCGCGCGUAGGCGGCUUUGUAAGUCGGAUGUGAAAGCCCAGGGCUCAACCCUGGAAUUGCAUUCGAUACUGCAUGGCUAGAGUAUGGUAGAGGGAAGUGGAAUUUCCGGUGUAGCGGUGAAAUGCGUAGAUAUCGGAAGGAACACCAGUGGCGAAGGCGGCUUUCUGGACCAAUACUGACGCUGAGAUGCGAAAGCGUGGGGAGCGAACAGGAUUAGAUA
RNAcentral lists this ribosomal RNA (279 nucleotides) under uncultured bacterium. Its description in RNAcentral is "partial 16S ribosomal RNA". It matches the Rfam family "Bacterial small subunit ribosomal RNA", at positions 506 to 784 of the family's 1533-position model. The record is from RNAcentral.